GGGUGUGACAAUGAUCUGGCUGUAACAUCUGUGAGCCCACGGGGGUUGAUUCAACUCAUCAGGCUGGCUAGGCAGGUGUCCCCUUCCUCCCUCACUACUCCAUGUGCAUCCCUCAUGAAGCUGUGUGCUCGGUUGAAGAGGAUAAUCUUUCCCAAAUAGAAGACUAGGAGUAGGAGGGCUCCCUGCUAGGACUUCUAAAGAAGCUCUCAAAAGCCCACACCUAACCUGCCUGCUGCCUGGGAAUCAGAAUGUAGAGCUCUCGGGUACUGCUCCAACACCAUGUCUGCCUGUCUGCUGCCUACAAUA
This is an unclassified non-coding RNA of Mesocricetus auratus (golden hamster), 306 nucleotides long. Its record names the gene 7SK. It matches the Rfam family "7SK RNA". Rfam says of the family: 7SK was discovered as an abundant small nuclear RNA in the mid-70s but a possible function has only recently been suggested. Two independent studies have found that 7SK RNA binds the CDK9/cyclin T complex (known as elongation factor P-TEFb). P-TEFb activates transcription by phosphorylating the C-terminal domain of RNA polymerase II. Lineage: Eukaryota; Metazoa; Chordata; Mammalia; Rodentia; Cricetidae. The record is from Ensembl.